GGGGAUAUAGCUCAGUGGUAGAGCACUUGCCUAGCAUUUGCUAGGCCCUGGGUUCUAUCCCCA
RNAcentral lists this transfer RNA (63 nucleotides) under Ictidomys tridecemlineatus (thirteen-lined ground squirrel). Its description in RNAcentral is "Spermophilus tridecemlineatus (thirteen-lined ground squirrel) tRNA". It matches the Rfam family "tRNA". Rfam says of the family: Transfer RNA (tRNA) molecules are approximately 80 nucleotides in length. Their secondary structure includes four short double-helical elements and three loops (D, anti-codon, and T loops). Lineage: Eukaryota; Metazoa; Chordata; Mammalia; Rodentia; Sciuridae. The record is from Rfam by way of RNAcentral.